AGAGCGAACGCUGGCGGCAGGCUUAACACAUGCAAGUCGAGCGGGCGUAGCAAUACGUCAGCGGCAGACGGGUGAGUAACGCGUGGGAACAUACCUUUUGGUUCGGAACAACACAGGGAAACUUGUGCUAAUACCGGAUAAGCCCUUACGGGGAAAGAUUUAUCGCCGAAAGAUUGGCCCGCGUCUGAUUAGCUAGUUGGUGAGGUAACGGCUCACCAAGGCGACGAUCAGUAGCUGGUCUGAGAGGAUGAUCAGCCACAUUGGGACUGAGACACGGCCCAAACUCCUACGGGAGGCAGCAGUGGGGAAUAUUGGACAAUGGGCGCAAGCCUGAUCCAGCCAUGCCGCGUGAGUGAUGAAGGCCCUAGGGUUGUAAAGCUCUUUUGUGCGGGAAGAUAAUGACGGUACCGCAAGAAUAACGCCCGGCUAACUUCGUGCCAGCAGCCGC
This 448-nucleotide ribosomal RNA is filed under the name uncultured bacterium. RNAcentral describes it as "SSU rRNA". It matches the Rfam family "Bacterial small subunit ribosomal RNA", at positions 26 to 518 of the family's 1533-position model. The record is from RNAcentral.